This 23-nucleotide non-coding RNA is filed under the name Arabidopsis thaliana (thale cress). The record is from RNAcentral. Lineage: Eukaryota; Viridiplantae; Streptophyta; Magnoliopsida; Brassicales; Brassicaceae.
GAGUGACUACUGCAAACUUGAAG